UCUAAAGCACUCUGGUGGAUUUAAUGUGAGGGGAAUUAACACACAUUUUGAAAAAAAUGAGAUCCAAUGCAUGUCUGGGUACUUGAGACUGCUGGAGUUUGUGCAGGAGGUUUUUGUACGGCCGCUUAAUGAGUCUGUAUCACUGUGGUACACUUUUGGUGGAGGAACUAGACUGGCUUUUGGAACUGAUAUUCGGCCCAGCCUGAUGCUGCUUCCCCCCUCCAGUGUGGAGCUGCAGCAGGGGAAGGCCACACUCAUGUGCCUGGCCACCAAGGGCUUCCCCUGGGACUGGAGGCUGAGCUGGAAGGUGGACGGGAGCAACAGGAGCUCCGCGGGGAGCCAGAGCCCUGCGCUCCUGGAGAAGGACGGCCUCUACAGCUGGAGCAGCACCCUCACCCUCACCCAGGACCAGUGGAGGAAGGGGGCAAAGGUCACCUGUGAAGCCACACAGGGCAACCAGCAACCCGUCACUCAGAAUAUCAAGACGGGAGACUGCUCCGAGUAGUGACAGAGCGCUCACACACACACACACACAUGU
Non-coding RNA from Clupea harengus (Atlantic herring), 538 nucleotides. NCBI's taxonomy places the organism in Eukaryota, Metazoa, Chordata, Actinopteri, Clupeiformes, Clupeidae. The record is from the annotation of a RefSeq genome assembly.